GCAAUCCGUGAUGGGCCAACCUGC
RNAcentral lists this non-coding RNA (24 nucleotides) under Arabidopsis thaliana (thale cress). Lineage: Eukaryota; Viridiplantae; Streptophyta; Magnoliopsida; Brassicales; Brassicaceae. The record is from RNAcentral.